AUCGCUUCUCGGCCUUUUGGCUAAGAUCAAGUGUAGUAUCUCUUCUUAUCAGUUUAAAAUUGUAUUUCUUUGAUCAAUCCUUUCACGCAUGGUACACACUGUUUAUGAAAAAUGCAUACAACUAAAGGUUUUCUAAGAUGAUCUCAUUUAAUACUCAUGGCAACUAUGAAGCAUGUACUAUUAUUACCCUC
Molecule: small nuclear RNA, 191 nt
Organism: Phyllostomus hastatus (greater spear-nosed bat)
Lineage: Eukaryota; Metazoa; Chordata; Mammalia; Chiroptera; Phyllostomidae
Product: U2 spliceosomal RNA
Exons: 1
Source: RefSeq, a predicted model, not a curated record